CGGUCACGCCGCGUAGGGAUGAAGGCCUCUGGGCUGUAAACCUCUUUUCUCAAGGAAGAAGAUCUGACGGUACUUGAGGAAUAAGCCACGGCUAAUUCCGUGCCAGCAGCCGCGGUAAUACGGGAGUGGCAAGCGUUAUCCGGAAUUAUUGGGCGUAAAGCGUCCGCAGGCGGUCUUGAAAGUCUGUUGUUAAAGCGUGGAGCUUAACUCCAUUUGAGCAAUGGAAACUGCAAGACUAGAGUGUGGUAGGGGCAGAGGGAAUUCCCGGUGUAGCGGUGAAAUGCGUAGAUAUCGGGAAGAACACCAGUGGCGAAGGCGCUCUGCUGGGCCAUAACUGACGCUCAUGGACGAAAGCCAGGGGAGCGAAAGGGAUUAGAUACCCCUGUAGUCCUGGCCGUAAACGAUGAACACUAGGUGUCGGGGGAAUCGANCCCCUCGGUGUCGUAGCCAACGCGUUAAGUGUUCCGCCUGGGGAGUACGCACGCAAGUGUGAAACUCANAGGAAUUGACGGGGGCCCGCACAAGCGGUGGAGCAUGUGGUUUAAUUCGAUUGCAC
Molecule: ribosomal RNA, 556 nt
Filed under: uncultured bacterium
Lineage: Bacteria
Description: bacterial SSU rRNA
Rfam family: Bacterial small subunit ribosomal RNA
Source: RNAcentral